UCCCUGAUGGUCCAGUGGUUAGGACUUAGCACUUUCACAGCUGGGUCCCUGGUUUAAUCCCUGGAUGGGGAA
This is a non-coding RNA of Bos taurus (domestic cattle), 72 nucleotides long. The record is from Rfam. Lineage: Eukaryota; Metazoa; Chordata; Mammalia; Artiodactyla; Bovidae.